GGCCUCACAUGCCCGUACUCGGCCAUUAACCGGCUAUUCAUUCAACAGUGAUUCACUUUCACUGUUCGAUCUAUCGGAACGACAUCUGAAAUUCUCAGAGUACUCGGGUAUCCAUAACGUCACGGCGCAACUCUCGCAAUCUAAUAUCCAUUGCCUUGAGAGUCGCUUCACCACUUCGCGUUCACCAUGAGUCUCACUCCUCGUGCAAGAAUCCUUAU
Molecule: long non-coding RNA, 218 nt
Filed under: Ananas comosus (pineapple)
Lineage: Eukaryota; Viridiplantae; Streptophyta; Magnoliopsida; Poales; Bromeliaceae
Description: long non-coding RNA (ACOM_LNC043680)
Source: RNAcentral